This 443-nucleotide ribosomal RNA is filed under the name Cyanobacteriota bacterium 0453_11PIIRGII. Its description in RNAcentral is "bacterial SSU rRNA". It matches the Rfam family "Bacterial small subunit ribosomal RNA", at positions 338 to 795 of the family's 1533-position model. The record is from RNAcentral. Lineage: Bacteria; Bacillati; Cyanobacteriota.
CCUACGGGCGGCAGCAGUGGGGAAUUUUCCGCAAUGGGCGAAAGCCUGACGGAGCAAUACCGCGUGAGGGAGGAAGGCUCUUGGGUUGUAAACCUCUUUUCUCAGGGAAGAAAUCAAUGACGGUACCUGAGGAAUCAGCAUCGGCUAACUCCGUGCCAGCAGCCGCGGUAAUACGGAGGAUGCAAGCGUUAUCCGGAAUGAUUGGGCGUAAAGCGUCCGCAGGUGGCUGUGUAAGUCUGCUGUUAAAGAGUCUUGCUCAACUAGAUAAAAGCAGUGGAAACUACAUGGCUAGAGUGCGUUCGGGGCAGAGGGAAUUCCUGGUGUAGCGGUGAAAUGCGUAGAGAUCAGGAAGAACACCGGUGGCGAAAGCGCUCUGCUAGGCCGCAACUGACACUGAGGGACGAAAGCUAGGGGAGCGAAUGGGAUUAGAUACCCGAGUAGUC